Meleagris gallopavo (turkey) is the source of this 1310-nucleotide non-coding RNA. The record is from RefSeq and is a predicted model, not a curated record. NCBI's taxonomy places the organism in Eukaryota, Metazoa, Chordata, Aves, Galliformes, Phasianidae.
CAUAGCGCCCCUCGCGCGGCCCCGCCCAGUGCGUUACCUCAGGGCAGAGGUCUCCCAUUGCUUCUUCCUUAGCUUUCCCCGCCUGCUGGGAAACGGCCGCCCCUUGUGCGGUGUUCCGCAGCAGACGGUGUCCUCCCUGAGAAAGCGCAGUGGAGCGGGUGCUGCCCCUAACCGGAGCCUCCGUCCUCUGCUAUGAACUGCUCCCCUCGUCACUCCCUCCUGCUGUUGUUGCUGCAACACGUUUUCUCCUUAAACGAAAGGCAGUCAGUCAGUCAGAGCCGUCAGGUUUCACAGAUAACCAGGGGACUGCAGAGGAAUGAAACAGAGAGCAAAUCUGGCCCAAAGUUCAUCUGGGUAAAGCAGCCAAACGCUUCAUCAUAUGGCACCAGAGAAACUUUGCUAUACAACUGAGGAAAGCUCCAGAUCCCACACGUGGAAAAGGCUGAUUUUUGCAAACAGUUGUACAUGUAUUAUCUUGUUAUUAGUAUGGAUAUAGUGUAUCACAAAAAUCGUAAAUGGAUUGCAGGAUUCCCUUUAUAUUAAUCAAGAUACUUCUCCUGAGGAAUAAAAAUAUAUUAGUAUCAUGCAUUUUGUUACUUCUAGCUCAUAUAGUCCCUUUCUAUUUCCCCACUGUAUUUGAAACCUUGGAGCAGUGCAUAUGCCUGGCACGUUCCCAGUUUUAUGCACCAUUUUUGCCGAAAUGGAAUAUUUAAGUCAUUACUUCCAAAGCCUUAUCUAUACUCAGAAUGAAUCAUCUGCAGAGGAAUCUGUGUAUAUUGUCUCAGUUACAAUGUGCCCAGGGCACUCACCCCGCAAGUCCUGGAUUCACUCCCAGAAGCAGUAGGUUCUGGGAGAUUUUUAGAACACCUUUUAAAUUUUUGGAUGACAGACAACUAAAUUAAGUUUUUAAGUAGAGAUGCAUGCACCAAUCUCUCUCACGUACACCAGAAACACAUGCAUUUUCAGUUCAUACUGCAUGCUAUCUCUACAUCACUACUGACCAUAUGAAAAUAGGCAUCAGGUUAAAUAUUCCACUGUAUAUCUGGCAGAAGUUUCUUCACAAAUAAUCUGGAAUUCCUAUCAUGUCUCUGUUCUGUGGGCUACCUUCUUAUAAGCAUUGAUAAUGAAGUUUUCCGAUCACUUCCCAUUAAAGAACUUCGUUUUUAGAUAUUUUGUGAUAUUCCCGAUGUCUAACCACGCUGACUGACACUUUUCAAGAGGUAGAAAAUACUCCAGAAAAUUCACUUAAACAAUUCAGCAUUUUCUAAGAGCAAGGUUAGGGAAAACAAUAGAUUCACAGAAUCAUAGAA